GUGCUCGCUUUGGCAGCACAUAUACUAAAAUUGGAACGAUACAGAGACUAGCAUAGCCCCUGUGCAAGGAUGACAUGCAAUUUUUUGUACAUGGUGGU
This 98-nucleotide small nuclear RNA is filed under the name Ochotona princeps (American pika). The record is from RNAcentral. Lineage: Eukaryota; Metazoa; Chordata; Mammalia; Lagomorpha; Ochotonidae.